UUUUGAGCCCAUAGGUAUUCAAGAGAGCUUCCAACAUAGAUCGCUACUGGAUUCUAGUUAUGUGAUACAAAAUUAUUUCAACCACAUGAUCAUGCCUAUUAGUUUCGGCCUUUCUAAUUACUCCUCUUCUAUAUGUACAUAAAUAUUACACAAGGGCAUAAUAGCUGUGAAUGAGAGUUAUGAAGCCUGAGUGAUUGUUUUGUUUUAGGCUGCUUCAGCAAAUCCAACUCUUAGGUUCCCAUAGUCGAACACUGUGUGAUAAGGACCCAUGAAUAUAUCCCCCAGAAUCCAUAGAGGUCCACGAGGGGGGGCCACAUCUAAAGCAAUAAAUCCACUAAUGCAUUGAGCUGAAACUCCCUUUCCCACUUUAAGCACAUACUGCUCUGGCCUUAGGCCAAACACUUUACCACCAAUUAUGAAUGAGAUAUGAGGCAUUGAAGAUAGACUGCUACAAUCAACUGUUGAUUCUCCAUUUGGACUAGGCAAUCGAUCACAGAGUUCAUUCACGUAGUUCAAGAUCUUCUCUUCUGUCUCAUUUAGCUUUAUACGAUUUUGCAUCCAUACAACCAUCAUCUCACAAGCAGUGCACGUAGCAUCUUCCACACCAUUAGACACUUUGUCUAUAGUUUCAUCCACCACAUUAUCAAUGUUUGCACUAACACCUCGAGUCCCAUCAAAAGUACAUAAGCCAAUUUGAGAGCAAAUCUUCUCUGGUUGUGCCUGAGCUAUCAGCAUUUCCAGUAUGACUUUCCCAUAUUGUGCAACCAAUGUCUUGCAUUCUUGGCUUAUAAUACCAGAGGCUCCAAUGGCAUGAUUAAUUUGAGUAAUCACAGUCGUUGGG
RNAcentral lists this unclassified non-coding RNA (841 nucleotides) under Hevea brasiliensis (rubber tree). Lineage: Eukaryota; Viridiplantae; Streptophyta; Magnoliopsida; Malpighiales; Euphorbiaceae. The record is from RNAcentral.